Molecule: long non-coding RNA, 656 nt
Filed under: Bemisia tabaci
Lineage: Eukaryota; Metazoa; Arthropoda; Insecta; Hemiptera; Aleyrodidae
Description: lncRNA ENSASIAIIG000703
Source: RNAcentral
CUCAGCUUUCUUCCGAACGCAAGUCGCUCUCUCACCUGCUUUUUCGUCUCCGAAGACGACGUCGACUCUAAAACUACGUUCACGCCAAUUUCUCCUCACGCGCACAGAUCGCGCUUUCCUUCUCUCUCGAGUCAGUCCGCGAAACUUUUUUCUUAUCACUGAAAACGCGACGGCUUAUCAGAGUCGUCCUGUGCUCGGGUUGUUUCCCGCGGGAAUUGUGAAGUGUCCCCGAAAAGUUUUCUUCUCCCGGUGUUUUUUUAAAAUUUUCUUCCUACUGGUGGUAAAAGUUCACGCGCCUGAGUUUCGCGCAAAUAUGGGAAGUGUUUUGACAAAAUUCUGAUCAAUUGUGCGUGUGUGUGUAGGUGUGGUGCUUUAUCCUCGUCCUGCGUCGCUCAUGAAUAAAAAAGGUGAGGCCUUUUUUGAUGACGUCACUAAAGCUGUUUCCUGGCUCUCGCAACCUCUCUUAUCAACACAGAAACAGGCGCAUUUUUGUUGCAUCCUUUUUGGAUCGAGGAUCAAGCUGGCUCGGCAGUGGCAAACUAUGCUGCGCUCGAUUUUUCAGACGCAACUCAUAUAACGAGCUUGGGCACUCCCGCUCCGUCUUCCCUCCGCACCAACCAUCAACGACUCAAGUGACAACUAAUUGCUACGGAUCC